AGUUUGAUCCUGGCUCAGAUUGAACGCUGGCGGCAGGCUUAACACAUGCAAGUCGAGCGGGGAAAGGUAGCUUGCUACCUUACCUAGCGGCGGACGGGUGAGUAAUGCUUAGGAAUCUGCCUAUUAGUGGGGACAACAUUUCGAAAGGAAUGCUAAUACCGCAUACGCCCUACGGGGGAAAGCAGGGGACCUUCGGGCCUUGCGCUAAUAGAUGAGCCUAAGUCGGAUUAGCUAGUUGGUGGGGUAAAGGCCUACCAAGGCGACGAUCUGUAGCGGGUCUGAGAGGAUGAUCCGCCACACUGGGACUGAGACACGGCCCAGACUCCUACGGGAGGCAGCAGUGGGGAAUAUUGGACAAUGGGGGGAACCCUGAUCCAGCCAUGCCGCGUGUGUGAAGAAGGCCUUUUGGUUGUAAAGCACUUUAAGCGAGGAGGAGGCUACUUAGAUUAAUACUCUAGGAUAGUGGACGUUACUCGCAGAAUAAGCACCGGCUAACUCUGUGCCAGCAGCCGCGGCAAUACAGAGGGUGCAAGCGUUAAUCGGAUUUACUGGGCGUAAAGCGUGCGUAGGUGGCCAAUUAAGUCAAAUGUGAAAUCCCCGAGCUUAACUUGGGAAUUGCAUUCGAUACUGGUUGGCUAGAGUAUGGG
This 647-nucleotide ribosomal RNA is filed under the name uncultured bacterium. RNAcentral describes it as "bacterial SSU rRNA". It matches the Rfam family "Bacterial small subunit ribosomal RNA", at positions 10 to 652 of the family's 1533-position model. The record is from RNAcentral.